GGCCUCCCGAAGUGCUAAGAUUCCAGGUAUGAGCCACGGCGACUGGCCCACCUGUCUAAUUUUUAAAUUUUUUUAAGACGCUGGGUCUCACUAUGUUGUUCAGGCUGGUCUUUAACUCCUAGGCUCAAGCGAUCCUCCCACCUUGGCCUCACAAAGUGCUGGGAUUACAGGUACGAGCCCCUGCACCUGGCCACAACCUAUUAAUAGUAAUAAUAAUAAUAACAACAUGUCCCCCUGUCCUUCUCUGGCCUCACUGAGUAGUCCCAGGCUUUCCCCACAUGCCUCUCAGGACUUAGUUUCCCCAUCUCGAUGCUCUCUCAGUCCCCUCUCUUGCUGGGUGUCCCAGUGGCCAGGAUGGUGGGUGGCACCGCUAUCUUCCCGGCCUAUUUGCUCUCCCUCUUCCGGGGCUGCUACCCUGGCCAAGGCCCUUGAAUAAAAGGCAAGGGCACCUGUGUCCUGCUUCCUUCUCUCCUGCCUGGAUCAUGCUCUGGCUCUCUCUGCCCUGUUGCUCCUGGGAGCACUGGCUGCCCCAGCAGGAAGCUCUAAGACAUGUCCAGCCUGCUCUUUGCUGUGAACCUGCAUUGAAAUAACUUGUCCUUCUGCCCAGGACUUCUGCUUGUUUAGCCAGAUGCAGCUGGAAAAUGGGACUCUCAUUGAGAAGGGGUCAUGUGUGGCCCCUGGAGAAUGCUAAGAAGGUGUCUACGCCCUGACCUACAGCCCCCAUGCAAGCCUCUGGGUCAGCACAGCCUCUUGUGAAAACAACUGCAGCCACCUUCCCCAGUAAGGUUUGUUGGGAGGACCUCAGGCUCACACACCAGGGUAGGGUGUCAUGGGGACCCAGCCUCAAUUUCCUGCCUCACAGCUUUUUGUCUGGCUGAUUGGGGCAAGAAGGAGACUCUCAGUUUUCUCAUCUGGAAAAUGGGUGUGAUGUAGGUUUUAAAGGGUGUUCAUCCCCUAGGCUGGCACGUGGUAGACACUCCUUUUGUUGCCAUGUUUAUUUGAAUACUGGGAGGCUAAAGAGAACUCCAAGCUCUUUUCUGUUUCUCUGUCUCUCUCUCUCUCUCUCUCUCUUUUUGAGACAGAGUCUCACUCUGUUGCCCAGGCUGGAGUACAAUGGCGCAAUCUUGGCCUACUGCAACCUCCACCUCCUGGUUCAAACGAUUCUCGUGGCUCAGCCUCACGAGUAGCUGGGAUUACAGAUGUACACAACCACGUCCGGCUAAUUUUUGUAUUUUUAGUAGAGUCAGGGUUUCGCCAUGCUGGCCAGUCUGGUCUCAAACUCUUGACCUUCAGUGACCUGCCCGCCUGGGCCUCUCAAAGUGCUGGGAUUACAGGCAUGAAUCUCUGUGCCCCGCCUCUCUUUUUGUCUUUAAUAGAGGGGCUCCCCUUGAAGGCUAGUCAAACAGAACAAGAAACCUCACAAGUGGUGAUAGGCCCAGGUCUAGGGGAGCCCAGCCAGGAGCCCAGGAUGCAAAAAUGUUUAUUCUUUAUUUUUUAUUUUUAUUUUUUUU
This 1511-nucleotide long non-coding RNA is filed under the name Homo sapiens (human). RNAcentral describes it as "HSALNT0260378". The record is from RNAcentral. Lineage: Eukaryota; Metazoa; Chordata; Mammalia; Primates; Hominidae.